Molecule: non-coding RNA, 99 nt
Organism: Filobasidium floriforme
Lineage: Eukaryota; Fungi; Basidiomycota; Tremellomycetes; Filobasidiales; Filobasidiaceae
Source: the annotation of a RefSeq genome assembly
UCUUUGCUGGUGUAUUGGUAACAUUGGCGCUUGUCAUGAUAUCCAACUAUCAACACUAACAACUCGCGCCCGCGCUGGGUUCGAUUCCCAGGCAGAGAG